This 497-nucleotide ribosomal RNA is filed under the name uncultured bacterium. RNAcentral's name for it is "partial 16S ribosomal RNA". It matches the Rfam family "Bacterial small subunit ribosomal RNA", at positions 28 to 507 of the family's 1533-position model. The record is from RNAcentral.
GAUGAACGCUGGCGGCGUGCCUAAUACAUGCAAGUCGAGCGAACAGACGAGGAACUCGCUCCUCUGACGUUAGCGGCGGACGGGUGAGUAACACGUGGAUAACCUACCUAUAAGACAGGGAUAACUACGGGAAACCGGAGCUAAUACCGGAUAAUAUAUUGAACCGCAUGGUUCAAUAGUGAAAGACGGUUUUGCUGUCACUUAUAGAUUGAUCCGCGCCGCAUUAGCUAGUUGGUAAGGUAACGGCUUACCAAGGCGACGAUGCGUAGCCGACCUGAGAGGGUGACCGGCCACACUGGAACUGAGACACGGUCCAGACUCCUACGGGAGGCAGCAGUGGGGAAUCUUCCACAAUGGGCGAAAGCCUGACGCAGCAACGCCGCGUGAGUGAAGAAGGUCUUCGGAUCGUAAAACUCUGUUGUUAGGGAAGAACAAAUGUGUAAGUAAAUAUGCACGUCUUGACGGUACCUAAUCAGAAAGCCACGGCUAACUACGUG